RNAcentral lists this ribosomal RNA (422 nucleotides) under uncultured bacterium. RNAcentral's name for it is "bacterial SSU rRNA". It matches the Rfam family "Bacterial small subunit ribosomal RNA", at positions 355 to 774 of the family's 1533-position model. The record is from RNAcentral.
UAAGGAAUAUUGGUCAAUGGACGCAAGUCUGAACCAGCCAUGCCGCGUGAAGGAUUAAGGCCCUCUGGGUUGUAAACUUCUUUUAUAGGGGAAGAAAUGUGACGGUCCUCCGUCACUUGACGGUACCCUGGGAAUAAGCACCGGCUAACUCCGUGCCAGCAGCCGCGGUAAUACGGAGGGUGCAAGCGUUAUCCGGAUUCACUGGGUUUAAAGGGUGCGUAGGUGGGCAGAUAAGUCAGUGGUGAAAUCUUCCGGCUUAACCGGGAAACUGCCGUUGAUACUAUUUGUCUUGAAUAUUGCGGAGGUAAGCGGAAUAUGUCAUGUAGCGGUGAAAUGCUUAGAUAUGACAUAGAACACCAAUUGCGAAGGCAGCUUACUACACAAUCAUUGACACUGAGGCACGAAAGCGUGGGUAGCGAACA